Drosophila pseudoobscura is the source of this 535-nucleotide long non-coding RNA. RefSeq lists it as uncharacterized. The transcript has 2 exons. Lineage: Eukaryota; Metazoa; Arthropoda; Insecta; Diptera; Drosophilidae. The record is from RefSeq and is a predicted model, not a curated record.
GCUAAAACGACACCAGAAUAUUGGUUAUCAAUUAAAAACUCCCACAUUGUGUUUAUCUUUGAUUGAUAGUAAGAAAUCAGAACAAAGGGAAAGGAGGUUAGCUCUAAAGAGCUAACGAGCUCCCCUAUAGAGGAGCUCAUGUAUGACUAACUCAAAGGCAAAUGAAUAGUCAAUUAGGUUUACGCCGAUAAGAAUUGAAUUAGUCUCCACAUAAUACGGGUUAUACCGAAUUACAAAUAUAUUUACUAUGUUCUUAUAUGUAUACAUAUGUACGUUAGUAAACUUGAGCCACAAACCAGGCUCGCAAUCGGAAGCAGAACUCAGAACUAUUCUUCUGCUGACCCGCAUCAUUCACAAAAAGAAUACAAAUCUAUUUACCUUAACUAAUAGUAUUCGUUUCACUUUGAUCUUAUAGUAUAAAAAACACCACAACAGGAGUCAGUAAUAAUAUUUCAAUAGCGCUAUCUAAUUGUAUUACUUUUAUAUGUUAAUAAAGUUUUUUACGAACAAAAGGAAUAAUAAAACAAUGCAAAAA